GGAAGUAAAAGUCGUAACAAGGUCUCCGUUGGUGAACCAGCGGAGGGAUCAUUACCGAGUUCUUACAAACUCCCAAACCCCUGUGAACUUAUACCUAUACUGUUGCUUCGGCGGGUCUUUGCCCCGGGGACGGACAGGGAGCCGGCAACGGCCCCCCUGGAAUGCUCGCUGUAGAUAGUAGUGACCGGGGAACUCAAACUCUGUAUUUCUCUUUACUGUAUUAUGCUCGCUGAUAGUGCCUGAUAGUUAAAAUGAAUCAAAACUUUCAACAACGGAUCUCUUGGUUCUGGCAUCGAUGAAGAACGCAGCGAAAUGCGAUAAGUAAUGUGAAUUGCAGAAUUCAGUGAAUCAUCGAAUCUUUGAACGCACAUUGCGCCCGCCAGUACUCUGGCGGGCAUGCCUGUUCGAGCGUCAUUUCAAAUGCUCGCUGAUGAAUGUCGCUCGGGAACGUCGCUGAUAGUGCUCGUAGCUCGUAUAGAUGUCGCCUGAUCCUCCUCUGCGUAGUAGCACACACCUCGCAACGGGAGCCCGGCGGCGGCCACUGCCGUAAAACGCACAAUCUUCUCUUCUAGAGUUGACCUCGAAUCACGUAGGACUACCCGCUGAACUUAAGCAUAUCAAUAAGCGGAGGA
Molecule: ribosomal RNA, 632 nt
Filed under: uncultured fungus
Lineage: Eukaryota; Fungi
Description: eukaryotic LSU rRNA
Rfam family: 5.8S ribosomal RNA (bases 261-414)
Source: RNAcentral